This is a small nuclear RNA of Entelurus aequoreus (snake pipefish), 113 nucleotides long. RefSeq annotates it as U5 spliceosomal RNA. The transcript has a single exon. The record is from RefSeq and is a predicted model, not a curated record. NCBI's taxonomy places the organism in Eukaryota, Metazoa, Chordata, Actinopteri, Syngnathiformes, Syngnathidae.
CUACUCUUGUUUCUCUUCAGAUGGCAUAAAUCUCUCGCCUUUUACAAAAGAUUUCCGUGGGGAGGAACAACAAGAGUAUAACUCCAUUUUUUAAAUGAAAGGAUAUCAAGUAG